GGAGAGAUGGCCGAGAGGUUGAAGGCGCCGCUCUCGAAAAGCGGUAUGCCCGUAAGGGUAUCGAGGGUUCGAAUCCCUCUCUCUCCGCCA
RNAcentral lists this transfer RNA (90 nucleotides) under Chloroflexota bacterium. RNAcentral's name for it is "tRNA-Ser". It matches the Rfam family "tRNA". Rfam says of the family: Transfer RNA (tRNA) molecules are approximately 80 nucleotides in length. Their secondary structure includes four short double-helical elements and three loops (D, anti-codon, and T loops). RNAcentral also lists the same sequence under 2 other names. The record is from RNAcentral. Lineage: Bacteria; Bacillati; Chloroflexota.